RNAcentral lists this ribosomal RNA (598 nucleotides) under uncultured bacterium. RNAcentral's name for it is "partial 16S ribosomal RNA". It matches the Rfam family "Bacterial small subunit ribosomal RNA", at positions 355 to 941 of the family's 1533-position model. The record is from RNAcentral.
UGGGGAAUCUUCCGCAAUGGACGAAAGUCUGACGGAGCAACGCCGCGUGAGUGAAGAAGGUUUUCGGAUCGUAAAACUCUGUCUUUUGGGGCGAACGUGAGUAUGGUGAACAAUCAUAGUCAGUGACGGUACCAAAGGAGGAAGCCACGGCUAACUACGUGCCAGCAGCCGCGGUAAUACGUAGGUGGCAAGCGUUGUCCGGAAUUAUUGGGCAGUAAAGAGCGCGUAGGCGGGAUAGUCAGUCUGUUGUAAAAGUGCGGGGCUCAACCCCGUGAUGGCAAUGGAAACAGCUAUUCUUGAGUGCAGGAGAGGAAAGUGGAAUUCCCAGUGUAGCGGUGAAAUGCGUAGAUAUUGGGAGGAACACCAGUGGCGAAGGCGACUUUCUGGACUGUGUCUGACGCUGAGGCGCGAAAGCCAGGGGGAGCGAACGGGAUUAGAUACCCCCGGUAGUCCUGGCCGUAAACGAUGGGGUACUAGGUGUGGGGAGGUAUCGACCCCCUUUCCGUGCCGGAGUUAANGCAAUAAGUACCCCCGCCUGGGGAGUACGGUCGCAAGACUGAAACUCAAAGGAAUUGACGGGGGUCAUAGCUGUUUCCUG